Molecule: long non-coding RNA, 5356 nt
Filed under: Lactuca sativa (garden lettuce)
Lineage: Eukaryota; Viridiplantae; Streptophyta; Magnoliopsida; Asterales; Asteraceae
Description: long non-coding RNA (LSAT_LNC007565)
Source: RNAcentral
UGACGUAUGUGUGUGUUUUCCCAAGGUGUACCUGACAUUUUAUGAUAUAGAUGUGUGCAUGCUAGGAUUAAUUCUUCUUCUACUCCUUCUACACUCUGUUUGAUUGUUUGCCUUAAUUGAUCACUGAUUUGGAUCCAUUAGAUUUGGGACUUACAAUUGGUAUCAGAGCCUUUUUGGUAUCAAUUGAAGUUAUUUUUUAGAAUGCAAAAUUUUAUUAUUUUUAAGAAUUUUGAUUGAAGAAUUGUUGAAGUAUUUUUUUUAAGAAUUUUGAUUGAAGAACUGUUGAAGGUUUGCUGCUGACUUUGAAGGUUUGCUGUUAAAGUGAGUGUGUGGUGGAGCGUGUCUAAUUAAGUGUGUGUUGGUAUUGUGUUUGUUGCUGACUGAGUGUGUGCUAUUACUGUAUUUGCUGGAAUUUUCUUGUUUGCUGCCAAGAGUGUGUGUGCGGUUAAAGUGACUGACGGUUAAGGUGUUAUAAUUGUGUGCAGUUAAAGCUGGUGUUGUUGAGUUCCGUGUACAGUUACAUUGGUGUGUGCUGUUCAAUUUAGUGUGCGGUCAGAUUGGUGUGUGCAGUUCAAUCUAGUGUGCGGUCACAUUGGUGUGUGCGGUUCAAUUUAGUGUGCGGUCAGAUUGGUGUGUGCGGUUCAAUCUAGUGUGUGGUCACAUUGGUGUGUGCGGUUCAAAUCGGUGUGCGGCUGGAUUAGUGUGUGCAGUUAAGGAGUGUGUUUAAGAGUAUUAGUGUGUGGUUUGAAAUUACUCAAAUGGAAUCUCAAAACAUGACUGCUCAUCAAGAUUUGGAUGCAAUUAUGGGAACAACUACUCGUAUUCCUAGAUUGCUAUCAGCUGAAGGAUUUCCUGAAUGGAAAUAUAGAAUUGAAAAAUACAUCAAAAUGAAGGAUUUCAAAAUUUGGAGAAGCAUUUUAAGAGGACCAAUUCGGAUUACUUCUACUUUAGAAGAUGGAACGAUAAUUGACAAACAGAUUGAAAACUACACUGAUGAUGAUUUUGAACGAGUUGAAGAACAAGAAAAGGCUCUUGCCACACUGACUAUGGCGUUGUCUCCUGAAAUUGCACAAGGAUUUCGUGAGUAUACAUCAGCAAAAGCAUUGUGGGAAGCACUGAUAGAAGUUUAUGAAGGAGAUGAAGACAUGAAGCAAAGUCGACAAGACAUGCUCCGACAAAAAUUCAACAUGUUCAACAUUGUAUUGGGAGAAACAUUGGAAAAUCAAUUGCAAAGAUUUAUCACACUAACCACUGAAAUGAGCUCCGCAGGUGUGAUGGUUACCAGAUCUGAAAUCAACAAGAAGUUACUAAAUUCUCUUCCAAAAUCAUGGGACAUGAAUGUCUCGGUGAUUAAAAAGACAAAAGACCUAAAUCGUUUAAGCUUGUCUGAAACAAUGGCAAUCAUCAAAGCUUGCGAUCUUGAUGAUAAACAAAGAGAAAUCAAUCAUGUCAAUUCGUACUCUACAGCCAAUCUUGGACUUCAAAAUAACAACACCGCUUUUUCAAGCUUCACCACCCUUCAAAAUACUCAAUUCCAAAUUCCUCAAGUUCAACCUCAUACAGUCCAUCAAAACAUACCAUACAUCAUACCUAACAUGCAACAAACUCAAAUCCCUCAAACAAUAUCUCAAGUUGGAUCUAGUGUUUUUCCCUCCACAGAUGUUUCAGUUCAAUCUCAUGGAAUUGGUUCCCAAAGUUCAGUUACAAAAGAAAAGGAGGAAAAUAUGGCUUUAGCUACUGGGUUGGUGAACUACUACAAUACCUUUGUUGCUGGAGAACUCUCUCCAUAACUAUCAUUCACUGAUCUUGAUCAAAUCCAUCCUGAAGAUGUGGAAGAAAUGGAUAUUACUUGGCAAAUGGCAAUGGCAGUAUUCAGGGCUAAACAAUUCUCAAAAAAGACUGGAAAGAAUAAUUAGGGUGUAAAUUCAGAUAAAAAGAUGGGUUUUAGCAAAGGAAAGUUACGUUGUUAUAAUUGUCAUGAACCAGGACACUUUGCAAGGGAAUGUCCAAAACCAAAUCAGCGAGAAAAUUACGAAAGAACCAUGGUGCCAGUAACUUACGUUUACAGCAACAACAGAGGGUCAUCUUCAAACAAUCAGUCUGCAAACAUGGCAAUGGUAGCUCAAUCGUUCAACUGGGAAGAUCAAGUUCAGGCCCUAAACAUUUCAGAACCUGAAAAGGCAAAUCUUGCUCAAGUCAAGGAUGAAAGUAAAGAAAUGGAAGCAGAUCCAGAGGAGGAGAUGAUGAAUUUGCAGUUUGCAUUCAUGGUUCAGACCACUCCUGAACCAGUCAAAUCUGAGGUUAGUGAAUUCGGUUGUUCUCAAUCUUCUAUUAAAACUGUUAAGUUUUUGAGAGAUCAAAUUGAGAUAAUCAAAAGAGAGAACGAGGACUUGAAAUAUGAGGGAUAUACUCUUAGAAAAAAUCAAAAGCCCAUAAAAACUCAAUUAGAAAAUAAAACAAAAGAUUUUAAAAAAUUGCAAGAGGAUUACAGCAACAAAUGCGAGAACUAUGAUCAUCUCAAAAGAAAGCUUGCUGCUGUAACCUUGGAACUUGACACAUUGAAAAAUCGUUUUGAAAAAGCUGAAUUUAAUUUCAAAAAGUACGAUGGGUCAAGUGAAAUGAUUGCAAAAUUAAUUGAAGAUCAAUCACAUUGGAGAGAUAUCACUCAUGGAAAUCAAAUAAAAGUCGGAUUAGCUUUUGAGAGUGUCCCUCCUCCUUUUAAUCACAAUUACACUGCUAUUCCUCUGUCUCAAGAACAAUUGACAGAGAACCUCGCAUGGUGUACGGAAAGUCAGCUUCUGAGCAGAAAAUACAGUCUAGUUAUGAGACUUUGCAUACUAACGUUUUUACUUCAAGUGCAGAUAUAUCAAUAGUUCAGGGGGAGCAUGCUGCUGAAACUUUUGAGUCACAUAAUGUUGUGGUUGAGUCUGGUGUUAAUUACAAUAAUGAGUCUGUGUCAAAAUCAAACACAAACGUUUUUGUCUCGAGUGGUAUUUUAUUUCAGUCUGACAAUGUUCUUUCUAAUAAUGUGGUUUCUGAUCAAACUGCUAAACCUGAUCUACAUGUCUCUACUUCUAACACAUAUGUUACUAAAUUCUAUGAUGAAUCUUGCAAGUGUAAAUGUGUUAAAAAUGAAAAAGCAAAGAAUAACAUUGUCAAAAGUAGUGUCAAAGUUACUGAUAACAAACAAAUCUGUUUUAACUGUGGCACUGCUGGACACAUUGCAAGAAAUUGUAUGAACCGGAUGUUUGUAUCUCAUACAACAAAAAGGAGGGAGAAUGAAUUUCGGGGACGAUCUUUGACUAGAAAAAUUCCCAAAAUUCAUUCUAGAAAUGGAGAUGUGAAUACAACAUUAAACAAAAAAUUCGAAAGAUUUCAAAAGAAUAAACAGGUUUUUCACAAAAAUAACAGAAGUUUGCCAAAAUCAACUCAGGCCAAGCCUAAGUCGAAUUUGUCAAAGAGCAGGAAAGGAUCUUCUAACUCUUCAAGUAGGAAAUCCACCGGUUCAAAGCAAACUAACAAAUUUUUGAAACCUAACUUUCAAUGGAUUCCAAAAACAUUUUCAGAUCAAUCUCCAUUACUCUCCAAUUCAAAUCAAAUGAAAAACUUGUAAAAGGAAAGAGUCAACCCAGGAUUGUGAUGACCUGGGUUCCCAAAACUAAAUAAUUCCAUUCAUCAUGCAAGGACAGUUGCGGAGGAAUGUCGUCAGACCUUGGUAUAUCGACAGCGGCUGCUCCCGGCACAUGCCUGGAGAUAUAUCCCAAUUGCACAACAUUCAAACUUUUAAUGGGGGAUAUGUUUCUUUUGCGGGCGGAGAGGGUGGAAAAAUUACUCAAAAAGGAAUAGUGUCCAAUGGAGUGUUGAAUUUUGAGAACGUCAUCUAUGCUCCCGAGUUAAAGUAUAGCUUGUUGAGUGUCUCACAGAUCAGCUUAUAGACUACAGAUAAUGAUAUACGGUUAUGCAGUGAAGACCUCGAUGCAAUAGUAUUUACAGAGUGUUCCAUCGAGUUGUUCCUGACGUUUUUGUGAUAUAAACGUGUGCAAGCUCGAUUUCUUUUCAUCUUCUUAUUCUAUUACUGCUUGAUCAUUAACAAAAGGAGUUAGUGGUGUUCUCAAAGUGAAGUCUCCAACUUUUGAUCAGAUGGCCAACACCUUUCAACCGAUAUGGAUACAACUUCAAGGAUUCCUCCCCUUCCAUUUGCUAUUCCAACUUUAUUGCCAUUUGAUGAGUGAUUAGAUACUGACACAAACCUCCCAGCCUCCUAUGAAAACAAGAUGAGUUGAUCAGAGGCAGGUAGAUCUUAUCCAAGAACAAGCACCACCAGUCUAACAACCCUCCAAAGCUGCUACACCAACUCAACCAACCCUAAAAGGACCAAGUAAUGUUAGAUCUUUGUUUAAAGUCGGGAGUUCUUCUGCUCCUGGGGGUUCUUCUCCNUCCACAACCUGCGCAUGAUGUUGCCUCUUUGAGGCUUGCCAGGUUUCUUGCUCAACAAGAUUCAGAUCAUUUACCUCAUGGCAAAUAAAUAUCAAUAGGUGAAGGAAGUUCAAGCGGAGCAGGCCCAUCUAUCUCAGAGCUCAAGGAGUAGAUCACUGAUGAAGAAGACCUGAGUCCAUGCUAGCUCAAACCAAGGGGGAGAUUGUUAGGUCAUAGUUUUGUGGUUUGAGGUAGGCAUUCAUCUUGUAUAGGUCUUGGUAGGGUCUUGGGGUUUGUUAUGUUGGUUGUAGUAUGUUAGUGAGUGUGUGCGGCUAUACACGUGUGUGCGGCUGCACACUCUGUGUGCGGCCAUACACGUGUGUGCGGCUGCACACUCUGUGUGCGGCCAUACACAUGUGUGCGGCUGUACACACGUAUGCGGCUGGGGGUCCUAUAAAUAGAGUGUGUUUGUGUCAGUUGUAAAGGGACGUCAGUGACGUAUGUGUGUGUUUUCCCAAGGUGUACCUGACAUUUUAUGAUAUAGAUGUGUGCAUGCUUGGAUUAAGAUCGGAANGAUUGUUUGCCUUAAUUGAUCACUGAUUUGGAUCCAUUAGAUUUGGGACUUACAACUUGGUUGCGUGAUGAAUGCGAAAUUUCAUAUUUGGAAGUUAGACUAAUUCGUUAACAAAGUGUCAAGUGAAGGACUAGGAAAUCGAGUACACAAGGUUGUGUGUUGAUGAAGUCCACCACAAGAGUAACAAAGAUAUUCGUCAUGAUUCAGUUAGGUUUAGUAAAUAUGAUUAUACUUACAAGAUUAAGUGUAAUUCUGAGUUGAUUGAAAGAGUUUCAAUAAAUAGCAGAACGAAUAAAGAAGAAUCAAGUAGGCAGAAAGAUAAAAGUUUCUCUAUUCUAAGAAGAAGGGAGAGUACCUUUUAUUAUG